RNAcentral lists this ribosomal RNA (251 nucleotides) under uncultured bacterium. RNAcentral's name for it is "partial 16S ribosomal RNA". It matches the Rfam family "Bacterial small subunit ribosomal RNA", at positions 524 to 776 of the family's 1533-position model. The record is from RNAcentral.
UACGUAGGGUGCGAGCGUUAAUCGGAAUUACUGGGCGUAAAGCGUGCGCAGGCGGUUGUGCAAGACAGAUGUGAAAUCCCCGGGCUUAACCUGGGAACUGCAUUUGUGACUGCAUAGCUAGAGUACGGUAGAGGGGAUGGAAUUCCGCGUGUAGCAGUGAAAUGCGUAGAUAUGCGGAGGAACACCGAUGGCGAGGCAAUCCCCUGGACCUGUACUGACGCUCAUGCACGAAAGCAUGGGGAGCAAACAGG